RNAcentral lists this small RNA (659 nucleotides) under Pan troglodytes (chimpanzee). RNAcentral's name for it is "retained intron". Lineage: Eukaryota; Metazoa; Chordata; Mammalia; Primates; Hominidae. The record is from RNAcentral.
AGUAAGGCGUCGUCAGAACAGCAGCUGGUACCGAAGGCGGAGGUGGAGCCCGAGAGGGAACCAGCGGGGAAACUGAGGCUCGGGGUGGAGCGCAGGAUUGUGGGACGCGCCAAGGCUGCUGUCUUUCCCAGCAGCAGCGGAAGAUGUCGGACAGCGAGGACAGCAACUUUUCCGAGGAGGAGGACAGCGAGCGCAGCAGUGACGGCGAGGAGGCCGAGGUAGAGGAAGAGCGGCGGAGUGCAGCGGGCAGUGAGAAAGAAGAAGAGCCUGAGGACGAAGAGGAGGAGGAAGAGGAGGAGGAAUACGAUGAGGAAGAGGAGGAAGAAGAUGAUGACCGACCCCCCAAGAAACCCCGCCAUGGAGGCUUCAUUCUGGACGAGGCUGAUGUUGACGAUGAGUAUGAGGACGAGGACCAGUGGGAGGAUGGAGCAGAGGACAUCCUAGAGAAAGGUGUGUGUGAGCCCUGCCUCCACAAGACUACCGGGAAGAGGGUGGCUGAGAGGGUCUUCAGAGCCCAUUCCCCCCACCCCCCCAUCCCCUGUACACCCCAACUCCCACCGUCCUCACCUUGCUUCUUUCUGUCCUUCCCAGAGAGACCAGCUCCCUGCUUUUUCCUUUUAGGCCCAUGAGUGGGGGGUGGGGCCGUGGGGUGGGGAUGU